Molecule: unclassified non-coding RNA, 200 nt
Filed under: Pleosporales sp.
Lineage: Eukaryota; Fungi; Ascomycota; Dothideomycetes; Pleosporales
Description: partial internal transcribed spacer 2
Source: RNAcentral
UUAAGUUCAGCGGGUAUCCCUACCUGAUCCGAGGUCAAGUUCGAAGUGGGCUCUUUAUGGACGCUGGUCUCACGCAGGCUCCAGGAAGCGCGAACAGUGCUGCGCGAUUAGGAGGCCCGGCAAGACCGCUGCCAAUGCCUUUGAGGCGAGUCCGCGCGGGCAAGCCGCAGCAGACAGACGCCCAACACCAAGCAGAGCUU